GGCCCAUUGGCUCAGUUGGCUAGAGUGUCAUGUUAAUUAUGCGAAGGCGCAAUUUCGAGACCUGCAUGGGCCA
Molecule: non-coding RNA, 73 nt
Organism: Thalictrum thalictroides
Lineage: Eukaryota; Viridiplantae; Streptophyta; Magnoliopsida; Ranunculales; Ranunculaceae
Source: the annotation of a GenBank genome assembly